UUACAUGUUCUCAUAGCUGAACUCAUGACAUUUUAGCAAGGCUUCAUAGUUAUGCACAACUAUCUAGCAGCAAGGGCUUAGGUAAACUUAUACAGGUUUCCAAACCGUAAUAACCUC
This is a long non-coding RNA of Populus euphratica (Euphrates poplar), 117 nucleotides long. RefSeq lists it as uncharacterized. The transcript has 3 exons. Lineage: Eukaryota; Viridiplantae; Streptophyta; Magnoliopsida; Malpighiales; Salicaceae. The record is from RefSeq and is a predicted model, not a curated record.